Molecule: ribosomal RNA, 550 nt
Filed under: uncultured bacterium
Lineage: Bacteria
Description: bacterial SSU rRNA
Rfam family: Bacterial small subunit ribosomal RNA
Source: RNAcentral
UAGGGAAUCUUCGGCAAUGGACGGAAGUCUGACCGAGCAACGCCGCGUGAGUGAAGAAGGUUUUCGGAUCGUAAAGCUCUGUUGUAAGAGAAGAACGAGUGUGAGAGUGGAAAGUUCACACUGUGACGGUAUCUUACCAGAAAGGGACGGCUAACUACGUGCCAGCAGCCGCGGUAAUACGUAGGUCCCGAGCGUUGUCCGGAUUUAUUGGGCGUAAAGCGAGCGCAGGCGGUUAGAUAAGUCUGAAGUUAAAGGCUGUGGCUUAACCAUAGUACGCUUUGGAAACUGUUUAACUUGAGUGCAAGAGGGGAGAGUGGAAUUCCAUGUGUAGCGGUGAAAUGCGUAGAUAUAUGGAGGAACACCGGUGGCGAAAGCGGCUCUCUGGCUUGUAACGGACGCUGAGGCUCGAAAGCGUGGGGAGCAAACAGGAUUAGAUACCCUGGUAGUCCACGCCGUAAACGAUGAGUGCUAGGUGUUAGACCCUUUCCGGGGUUUAGUGCCGCAGCUAACGCAUUAAGCACUCCGCCUGGGGAGUACGACCGCAAGGUUG